RNAcentral lists this non-coding RNA (122 nucleotides) under Cephalotus follicularis. The record is from RNAcentral. Lineage: Eukaryota; Viridiplantae; Streptophyta; Magnoliopsida; Oxalidales; Cephalotaceae.
GUGUUCAUAGAAAGGAGAGAUGGUUGGCAUCUCUGACAGGGAUGGGAACAUCUUUUAAGCCUUCUUGUUAACACAUCCGGUUAAGGCUAUCCAUUUUGGUGGAUCUUAUACCAGGAUGGCUG